Molecule: non-coding RNA, 1282 nt
Organism: Chiloscyllium plagiosum (whitespotted bambooshark)
Lineage: Eukaryota; Metazoa; Chordata; Chondrichthyes; Orectolobiformes; Hemiscylliidae
Source: RefSeq, a predicted model, not a curated record
CCCAGUCAAGGUACUUGAUGCUUUACAAAUUCGGAGUGCAGACCAAGCAUGUAUCUGCUGUCCCAAGCGCUUCUGCCUCCUGACCGGGUCCUGAUAAGACCUCGCUUAAAUACACAUCUGAGCAAGGAUUCAGCUGAACACGGGAGCUCCUCAAUUGAAUAAUGCCCAGUUAUCUUCAGGCGACUUUCAUAUCACCUUGCAUUUGAACAUGGACUUCUUCAGUAUUUGAUGAGUCACAAAUGGUGCUGAACAUUGUGCAACCAUUGACAAGCACCCCAUCUCUGAUCUUAUGAGGGAGGGAAGAUCAUAGAUGAAGCAGCAACAAGCAGAGAUGCCUAAGAGCUGCAAGCUGACCAAUCAGAGCACAAUGUAGAAGAGGAGGAAGAGACUGAUUGAAUAAAUAUUUUAACUUGUCCUUGUAAUUGCAACCAGCUCUCAGAAACUAACAAUGUCCGUUCUAUAGAGGAUAGCUUAAAGGUGUGAUCUGAGGAUGUUGAAUCUGAUCUGUAACCAGCAUUGGAGAGAAUGGUGGUCCCACUUCCCAGCUCAACAGAGGGCAAGAUUUUACAUGGUUCUGCUCUGGACUCAUAUGAGGUUUAGCACGUAGAGCUAGGCUUGCCAAAGAGUCUGCAGUCCCUGGAAUAGAGCAUAGAGGAGUCUGGCUCCAUCAUACUUGGCACAGAGACUUGUAGCCUAUCCAUUCUCACGUGGAGUUGGUGAUUCACUCCAUUAGCACUUCCACAGAAAUACCCAUGAUGCAGCAUUUGAUAGCCCUUGCCUCAGCUUCCACUGCAGCUCAAGCAGAACCAGGCAACAACUGAGCACUGCAAUGGAAGCCCAGCAGGAGACUAUCCACAUGCAACUUGUUACCAUGACCAUCCAACUUGCUGACACACUUGCUCACAUUGCUGCUCUGUCUAUUCUAAGGGCCUAAUAGGAUCUCAUAAAAGCCUGGCAGGUUGCCUCCAACAUAUUGCUAGGCUUGCUAAGGUGCUACUCCAUGCAGCACGAACUUGCUGGCAUUUCUCUUGAGAUGAUAGCAUUUCUCCUGCUACCACCAUAACUCUGCAGUGUGAGUAGUUGUCUGUCCACCAAUUAGCACAAACAUGCUACCAUCCAUGCAACCUAAACCUGACCCUUCCAGUGCCAGGACUGCUCAAAGUAACAUAUUGCAAGACAAUCUGUAGUCGUCCCACCUUCCACCAUUCCUGUUGUUGCUCUUGGGGUAGGACUGCAUAACUUCACUAGGACAAAGGCAUAUGAACAAAUCAUGUUCAUUAGU